RNAcentral lists this ribosomal RNA (495 nucleotides) under uncultured bacterium. RNAcentral describes it as "partial 16S ribosomal RNA". It matches the Rfam family "Bacterial small subunit ribosomal RNA", at positions 30 to 507 of the family's 1533-position model. The record is from RNAcentral.
UGACCGCUGGCGGCGUGCCUAAUACAUGCAAGUCGAGCGAACGGACGAGAAGCUUGCUUCUCUAAUGUUAGCGGCGGACGGGUGAGUAACACGUGGAUAACCUACCUAUAAGACUGGGAUAACUUCGGGAAACCGUAGCUAAUACCGGAUAAUAUUUUGAACCGCAUGGUUCAAAAGUGAAAGACGGUCUUGCUGUCACUUAUAGAUGGAUCCGCGCUGCAUUAGCUAGUUGGUAAGGUAACGGCUUACCAAGGCAACGAUGCAUAGCCGACCUGAGAGGGUGAUCGGCCACACUGGAACUGAGACACGGUCCAGACUCCUACGGGAGGCAGCAGUAGGGAAUCUUCCGCAAUGGGCGAAAGCCUGACGGAGCAACGCCGCGUGAGUGAUGAAGGUCUUCGGAUCGUAAAACUCUGUUAUUAGGGAAGAACAUAUGUGUAAGUAACUGUGCACAUCUUGACGGUACCUAAUCAGAAAGCCACGGCUAACUACGUG